Molecule: long non-coding RNA, 15042 nt
Filed under: Salmo salar (Atlantic salmon)
Lineage: Eukaryota; Metazoa; Chordata; Actinopteri; Salmoniformes; Salmonidae
Description: lncRNA (ENSSSAG00000086495.1)
Source: RNAcentral
UUUCUUAAAUAUGUUUUAUUUCAUAAAUCAUAUCAGUACAUUUUAUUUAACCUUUAUUUAACUAGGCAAGUCAGUUAAGAACAAAUUCUUAUUUACAAUGACGGCCUAGGAACAGUGGGUUAACUGCCUUGUUCAGGGGCAGAACAACAGAUUUGUACCUCUUGGACUCGCUGGUGUUCAGUCUUGUGCAGUGAAUAAAUGGAAAAUGGUGCUAUAAGAACCUUUCACUGAUGUUAAAUAAGAAGCAUCUAUAUUUUCAGUUUAUAGAAUGUAUCCAAUGUGUGUAUUUAAUGGGUUUACAGCUAAGGUGGCAAUAUCUUUAUUUUAACCAUAAAGUUAUUCAUAUCAGGGGGAAUUUACAAAGAUCACCAUCAUCACGAUAAUACAAUUAAAUGGUCAACAUUCUGGAAUGGAGAUUAAGUAACAAAAAAAACUUGUGGGUCAACAACCUGUUUCCACAACAAACAAAAAAAUAAUAAUAAUAAUAAUUAAUAAAUGUGAUUGUAGUUGAAAUAGUUAGUGUCAAAAUACUUAGUGCAAUUCCAUCUCGUAAAAUAAAUAUUAUCCAAAACAUAUGAUGUUCAUUUGAUCAUUUAAAGCCACAGCAAAUCUGAUUAAAAGAAAACUUUAAAUUAGAUUAAUUACAUAUAGUCAGCUAAAGACAUAUAUUCUCUCUAUCAUACAUACUGUACAUACAUACAUACAUACAUACAUACAUACAUACUGUACAUACUAUACAUACAUACAUACAUACAUACAUACAUACAUACAUACAUACAUACAUACAUACUGUACAUACAUACAUACAUACUGUACAUACAUACAUACAUACAUACAUACAUACAUACAUACAUACAUACAUACUGUACAUACAUACUGUACAUACAUACAUAAAUACAUACAUACAUACAUACAUACUGCACAUACAUACAUACUGUACAUACAUACAUACAUACAUACAUACAUACAUACAUACAUACAUACUGUACAUACAUACAUACAUACAUACAUACAUACAUACAUACAUACAUACAUACUGUACAUACAUACAUACAUACAUACAUACAUACAUACAUACAUACAUACAUACAUACAUACAUACAUCCUGUACAUACAUACAUACAUACAUACUGUACAUACAUACAUACAUACAUACAUACUGUACAUACAUACUGUACAUACUGUACAUACAUACUGUACAUACAUACUGUACAUACAUACAUACAUACAUACAUACAUACAUACAUACUGUACAUACAUACUGUACAUACAUACAUACAUACAUACAUACAUACAUACAUACAUACAUACAUACUGCACAUACAUACAUACUGUACAUACAUACAUACAUACAUACAUACAUACAUACAUACAUACAUACAUACAUACUGUACAUACAUACAUACAUACAUACAUACAUACAUACAUACAUACAUACAUACUGUACAUACAUACAUACAUACAUACAUACAUACAUACAUACAUACAUACAUACAUACAUACAUACAUCCUGUACAUACAUACAUACAUACUGUACAUACAUACAUACAUACAUACAUACAUACAUACUGUACAUACAUACUGUACAUACUGUACAUACAUACUGUACAUACAUACUGUACAUACAUACAUACAUACAUACAUACAUACUGUACAUACAUACUGUACAUACAUACAUACAUACAUACAUACAUACAUACAUACAUACAUACAUACUGUACAUACAUACAUACAUACAUACAUACAUACUGUACAUACAUACAUACAUACUGUACAUACAUACAUACAUACAUACAUACAUACAUACAUACAUACAUACUGUACAUACAUACAUAUAUACAUACAUACAUACAUACUGUACAUACAUACUGUACAUACAUACAUACAUACAUACAUACAUACAUACUGUACAUACAUACAUACAUACAUACAUACUGUACAUACAUACAUACUGUACAUACAUACAUACAUACAUACAUACUGUACAUACAUACAUACAUACAUACAUACAUACAUACAUACAUACAUACAUACUGUACAUACAUACAUACAUACAUACAUACAUACAUACAUACAUACAUACAUACAUACAUACUGUACAUACAUACAUACAUACAUACAUACAUACAUACAUACAUACAUAUAUACAUACAUACAUACUGUACAUACAUACCUACAUACAUACAUACUGUACAUACAUACAUACAUACAUACAUACAUACAUACAUACAUACAUACAUACAUACUGUACAUACAUACAUACUGUACAUACAUACAUACUGUACAUACAUACAUACUGUACAUACAUACAUACAUACUGUACAUACAUACAUACAUACAUACAUACAUACAUACAUACAUACAUACAUACAUACUGUACAUACAUACAUACAUACAUACAUACAGUACAUACAUACAUACUGUACAUACAUACAUACAUACAUACUGUACAUACAUACAUACAUACAUACAUACAUACAUACAUACAUACAUACAUACAUACAUACAUACAUACAUACAUAUAUUUGGAAUGUAUAGCUUCAAGCUACAUGAUAUGUGUUCAUAGUCAUAGACAGGCAAGAAAGAAUGUUGCCAAAAAAAAAAAUAUAUAUAUAUAUAUAUAAAUAUAUAUAAUCCUAAAAAAUCUACAAAAUAUAUUUAUUGUGCUUGAGGUACUUCCUUUUGCAUUCAAGUUUCACAUAGACAGUACAUAAUGUAUAUAACUAUUGCUCCAUUUGCAGUUAAUUACAUGUAGCUCCUUAGGACAAAGGCUUAUUAAUAUCUGAGUAGAAUAAAAACAUUUAUUUCAAUAAUUCAUUAUUCUAUUCAUUACAGUUAUAGUUGAUUAGUGUACUAACACCACUCAAGCGUAAACUCAGCAACAAAAAAAAGAAACGUCGUCUCACUGUCAACUGCGUUUAUUUUCAGCAAACUUAACAUGUGUAAAUAUGUGUAUGACCAGAACAAGAUUCAACAACAAAAACUGAACAAGUUCCACAGACAUGUGACUAACAGAAAUGGAAUAAUGUGUCCCUGAACAAAGGGGGGGUUAAAAGUAACAGUCAGUAUCUGGUGUGGCCACCAGUGCAUCUCCUCCUCAUGGACUGCAGCAGAUUUGCCAGUUCUUGCUGUGAGAUGUUACCCCACUCUUCCAACAAGGCACCUGCAAGUUCCCGGACAUUCCUGUGGGGAAUGGCCCUAUCCCUCACCCUCCGAUCCAACAGGUCCCAGAUGUGUUCAGUGGGAUUGAGAUCUGGGCUCAUUGCUGGCCAUGGCAGAACACUGACAUUCCUGUCUUGCAGGAAAUCACGCACAGAACGAGCAGUAUGGCUGGUGGCAUUGUCAUGCUGGAGGGUCAUGUCAGGAUGAGCCUGCAGGAAGGGUACCACAUGAGGGAGGAGGAUGUCUUCCCUGUAACGCACAGCGUUGAGAUUGCCUGCAUUGACAACAAGCUCAGUCCAAUGAUGCUGUGACACACCGCCCCAGACCAUGACGGACCCUCCACCUCCAAAUCAAUCCCGCUCCAGAGUACAGGCCUCGGUGUAACGCUCGUUCCUUCGAUGAUAAACGUGAAUCCGACCAUCACCCCUGGUGAGACAAAACCGUGACUCGUCAGUGAAGAGUACUUUUUGCCAGUCCUGUCUGGUCCAGCAACGUUGGGUUUGUGCCCAUAGGCGACGUUGUUGCCAGUGAUGUCUGGUGAGGACCUGCCUUACAACAGGCCUACAAGACCUCAGUCCAGUCUCUCUCAGGCUAUUGCGGACAGUCAGAGCACUGAUGGAGGGAUUGUGCGUUCCUGGUGUAACUUGGGCAGUUGUUGUUGCCAUCCUGUACCUGUCCCGCAGGUGUACCGAUCCUGUGCAGGUGUUGUUACACGUGGUCUGCCACUGCGAGGAAUAUCAGCUGUCCGUCCUGUCUUCCUGUAGCGCUCUCUUAGGCGUCUCACAGUACGGACAUUGCAAUUUAUUGCCCUGGCCACAUCUGCGGUCCUCAUGCCUCCUUGCAGCAUGCCUAAGGCACGUUCACGCAGAUGAGCAGAGACCCUGGGCAUCUUUCUGUUGGUGUUUUUCAGAGUCAGUAGAAAGGCCUCUUUAGUGUUCUAAGUUUUCAUAACUGUGACCUUAAUUGCCUACCGUCUGUAAGCUGUUAGUGUCUUAACGACCGUUCCACUGGUGCAUGUUCAUUAAUUGUUUAUGGUUCAUUGAACAAGCAUGGGAAACAGUGUUAAAACGCUUUACAAUGAAGAUCUGUGAAGUAAUUUGGAUUUUUACGAAUUAUCUUUGAAAGAUAGGGUCCUGAAAAAGGGACGUUUCAUUUUUUGCUGAGUUUAGUUUAUAUAAAAUAUACAAUAUAAACAAGUUUCAAUAUUCUUCCAGAAAAAUAUAUAUUUUCUGUUCUGUGAAAAUAACAGAGAAUUUGACUAAUUUCAGUUCGCAUAUUUCAAGUUUUAAAAGAUUCCCUUUUUUUUGCAUAACUUUCCUGUGCCAUGUGACGUGUGCAAUCACAGUGGUAGUACUGAAAUAAAGUGCUUUGAUCAUUAUUUAAUCAAGUGAUGGAUCACUAUCAACAAUUCUAUCAUCUCUUUCAAACCAAGAUGUUUUUCUGCCAACUUUACCAUACAGCCAACUUUUUUUGAGCUUUUCCAUAAAGGUUAUUGCCGAUAUCGAAGCCGAAACUUUUAUUUGCUCCUAAUGAUCUAGUAAUCAUUUCUGUUAAAUUCUCCCUACGGCUUAGUAUGAAAUGUAGCUGUUAGUGUGCCUUAAUGCUGAGGCGGUAUUGGCACGCACUACGCUCUAAAACGCUUGAUAGUUGCAAGGCAGUGAACGUUAACCAUCCUAACCUUUGCAAGGCAUGUCACUUCACCCAUCUCUUCUCAUAGCCCACCACUAAGCACGCACUGUUUUCUUACCCACAACUGGAUUGAUUCAUAAAGAAUUACUGUGGGGAUAAAUCUCACUGAAUGACCAAAAUAUAAAUGGAAUGAAGUAGGCUAAAUCAAUAGAAAGGCAUGUAUCAAAUUGUUGCUUACUAAAUCUCCCAAAGUCAUCCAAUUCUUAUAAUACAUUUGAAGCAAUAGCCUACUUGCGUCAGGCUGCGUGUGGUCAACUAGAUACAGUGCAUUCGGAAAGUAUUCAGACCCCUUGACUAGUUCCACAUUUUGUUACGUUACAGCCAUAAUCUAAAAUGGAUUAAAUCGUUUUUUUCCUCAUCAAUCUACACACAAUACCCCAUAAUGACAAAGCAAAAAUGUAUUAAACAUUUUAAAGUUAAAUAUCACAUUUACAUAAUGUAUUCAGACCCUUUACUCAGUACUUUGUUGAAGCACCUUUGGCAGUGAUUACAGCAUCGAGUCUUCUUGGGUAUGACGCUACAAGCUUGGCACACCUGUAUUUGGGGAGUUUCUCCCAUUCUUCUCUGCAGAUCCUCUCAAACUCUGUAAGGUUGGACGGGGAGUUUCACUGCACAGCUAUUUUCAGGUCUCUCCAGAAAUGUUUGAUCGGGUUCAAGCCUGGGCUCUGGCUGGGCAACUCGAGAACAUUCAGAGACUUGUCCCGAAGCCACUCUUGCAUUGUCUUGGCUGUGUGCUUAGGGUCGUUGUCCUGUUGGAAGGUGAACCUUCUCCCCAGUCUGAGGUCCCGAGUCCUCGGGAGCAGGUUUUCAUCAAGGAUCACUCUGUACUUUGCUCUGUUCAUCUUUACCUCGAUCCUAACUAUUCUCCCAAUCCCUGCUGCUGAAAAACAUCCCCACAGCAUGAUGCUGCCACCACCAUGCUUCACCGUAGGGAUGGUGCCAGGUUUCCUCCAGGUGUGAUGCUUGGCAUUUAGGCCAAAGAGUUCAAUCUCGGUUUCAUCAGACCAGAGAAUCUUGUUUCUCAUGGUCUAUGAGUCCUUUAGGUGCCUUUUGGCAAACUCCAAGUGUGUUGUCAUGUGACUUUUACUGAGGAGUAGCUUCCGUCUGGCCACUCUACCAUAAAGGCCUGAUUGGUGGAGUGCUGCAGAGAUGAUUGUCCUUCUGAAAGGAUCUCCCAUCCCCACAGAGGAACUCUGGCGUUCUGUCAGAGUGACCAUUGGGUUCUUGGUCAUCUCCCUGGCCAAAGCCCUUCUCCCCAAUUGCCCAGUUUGGCCGGGCGGCCAGCUCUAGGAAGAGUCUUGGUGGUUCCAAACUUCUUCCAUUUAAGAUUGAUGGAGGACACUGUGUUCUUGGGGACCUUCAAUGUUGCAGACAUUUUUUGGUACCCUGCCCCAGAUCUGUGCCUGACACAAUCCUGUUUCUAAAUUUUACGGACAAUUCCUUCAACCUCAUGGAAUGGUUUUUGCUCUGAUAUGCACUGUCAACUGUGGGACCUAAUAUAGACAGGUGUGUGCCUUUCCAAAUCAUGUCCAAUCAAUUGAAUUUACUACAGGUGGACUCCAAUCAAGUUGUAGAAACAUCUCAAGGACGAUCAUUGGAAACAGGAUGCAGCUGAGCUCAAUUUCGAGUCUUACAGCAAAGGGUCUGAAUACUUAGGUAAAUAAGGUUUAUAAUUUGUAAUAAAUUUGCAAACAUUUCUAAAAACUUGUUUUCGCUUUGUCAUUAUGGGUUAUUGUGUGCUGAUUUAUUGGGACAGCACCAACACACUGCUUUGAGACAUGCGUUGGGACUCAUCUUGAUAAAUCAAUCAAUGUCAGAUUUGUGUUUUCACUGAAUCUCCGUUUGGAUAUUGGUUAGGCUACAAUUAGGCUGGGAAAUGUUAGCUAAAUUGAGGUGAGUGAUGCUCAUGAUCAUCUAGUCUGAUUUAUCAGAACAUUUAGUCUAGUUGGCUGAUUUAUCAGAACAUUUAGUCUAGUUGGCUGAUUUAUUAGAACAUUUAGUCUAGUUGGCUGAUUUAUCAGAACAUUUAGUCUAGUUAGCUGAUUUAUCAGAACAUUUAGUCUAGUUGGCUGAUUUAUCAGAACAUUUAGUCUAGUUGUAUCAGAACAUUUAGUCUAGUUGGCUGAUUUAUCAGAACAUUUAGUCUAGUUGGCUGAUUUAUCAGAACAUUUAGUCUAGUUGGCUGAUUUAUCAGAACAUUUAGUCUAGUUGGCUGAUUUAUCAGAACAUUUAGUCUAGUUGGCUGAUUUAUCAGAACAUUUAGUCUAGUUGGCUGAUUUAUCAGAACAUUUAGUCUAGUUGGUUUACGGUGGUCGACAGAGGCGGACAGAGCCUUCAACCAGUUGAAGGCGCUGUUCACUGAUGCACCCGUGUUGGCGCACCCGGACCCCUCUUUAGGGUUCAUAGUGGAGGUGGACGCGUCCGAGGCUGGGGUGGGUGCCGUGCUAUCACAGCGCUCGGAUACGCCACCGAAACUCCACCCCUGCGCUUUCUUUUCUAGAAAGCUCGGUCCGGCGGAACGCAACUAUGAUGUGGGGGACCGGGAGCUGUUUGCUGUGGUCAGGGCUCUGACCGUGUGGAGACACUGGCUUGAGGGGGCUAGACACCCUUUUCUCAUCUGGACGGACCACCGGAACCUGGAGUAUAUCCGGGCAGCUAGGAGACUGAAUCCGCGUCAGGCAAGGUGGGCCCUGUUCUUCACCCGCUUUAGGUUCACCAUUUCGUAUAGACCAGGUUCCCUGAACACGAAGGCCGACGCGUUGUCCCGUCUCUAUGACACGGAGGAUCGGCCCAUCGAUCCUACUCCCAUCCUUCCAGCCUCUAAGCUGGUAGCACCAAUGGUAUGGGAGGUGGACGUGGACAUUGAGCGGGCGUUACAGGUGGAACCUGCGCCUCCUAAAUGUCCUACAGGUCGCAAGUACGUGCCGCUUGGUGUCCGUGAUCAACUGAUUCGGUGGGCUCACACACUACCCUCUUCGGGUCAUCUUGGUGUGGAGAGGACAGUGCGGGGCCUUAGGGGGAAGUACUGGUGGCCCACCUUGGCUAAGGACGUGAGGUUCUAUGUCUCUUCCUGUUCGGUGUGCGCCCAGAGUAAGGCUCCUAGGCACCUUCAUAGAGGGAAGUUACAACCCCUCCCCGUUCCACAACGGCCGUGGUCUCACCUGUCGGUGGACUUCCUUACCGAUCUUCCCCCGUCUCAGGGGAACACCAAGGUCCUGGUUGUUGUGGAUCGGUUUUCUAAGUCCUGCCGUCUCCUUCCAUUGCCCGGUCUCCCUACGGCCCUACAGACUGCGGAAGCUCUAUUCACCGGAGGACAUCAUCUCUGAUCGGGGUCCCCAGUUCACGUCCCGAGUGUGGAGGGCGUUUGUGGAGCGUCUGGGGGUCUCGGUCAGCUUGACCUCCGGUUAUCACCCCGAGAGCAAUGGACAGGUGGAGAGAGUGAACCAGGAGGUGGGUAGGUUUCUGCGGUCGUAUUGCCAGGACCGGCCAGGGGAGUGAUCCAGGUACGUCCCAUGGGCAGAGCUGGCACAGAACUCACUCCGCCACUCCUCCACUAACAUGUCACCAUUUCAAUGCGUGUUAGGCUACCAGCCGGUCCUGGCACCAUGGCAUCAGAGUCAGAUCGAGGCUCCUGCGGUGGAGGAGUGGGUGCAGCGCUCCAAAGAGACCUGGAGGGCUGUCCAGGAAUCCCUCAAGCAAGCAGGUGGACGGCAGAAGAGGAGCGCUGACCACCACCGCAGUGAGGCCCCCGUGUUCGUACCGGGGGACAGGGUCUGGCUCUCGACCCGAAACCUACCCCUCCGCUUGCCCUGCCGGAAGCUGGGGCCGCAGUGUGUGGGGCCCUUCAAAGUCCUGAGGAGGAUAAACGAGGUGUGUUACAGAUUCCAACUCCCUUCCUAUUAUUGUAUUAACCCCUCGUUUCAUGUGUCUCUCCUCAGGCCGGUGGUAGCUUGUCCCCUGCAAGAAGGUGAGGUGCCGGAGGUCCCACCGCCCCAUCUGGACAUCGAGGGGUCCCCGGCGUACACAGUACGUGCUAUUCUGGACUCGAGACGCCGAGUGAGGGGCCUGCAGUACCUCGUAGACUGGGAGGGGUACGGCCCGGAGGGGAGGUGCUGGGUACCGGUGGGGACAUCCUGGAUCCAUCACUGUUGAGGGAUUUCCAUCGCCUCCAUCUGGAUCGCCCUGCGCCUCGCCCUCCGGGUCGGCCCACGAGGCCGGUGUCGGCGCGCUGCGGGAGCCGCGCGUCAGGGGGGGGUACUGUCACGAAGCCUACCGAGGGUGACUCCUCUCCCUGUUCGGGUGGCGCUCGGCGGUCGUCGUCACCGGCCUACUAGCUGCUACCGAUCCCUUUUUCCCUUUUCUGUUUGUUUUGUCUAAUUAGUUUCACCUGUUUUCAUUUAGGCUUGUUAGUUGGACUAUUUAAGCCAGUAGGCCCGGCUGUUCUUUGUGCGGGCUUAAUGAUCCUUCCACUGUGUUCUGCGUGGUGGAUAGUAUAUUUUGGGUGUUUGUAUUUUGGUGCACCCGGCAUUUUGGGCGAAUUACUUUUGUGCGUAAUAAAGCGUUACAUUGAACUUUCUGUCUCCUGCGCCUGACUCCGCACCCACUACGCCCAGACCGUUACACUAGUUGGCUGAUUUAUCAGAACAUUUAGUCUAGUUGGCUGAUUUAUCAGAACAUUUAGUCUAGUUGUAUCGGAACAUUUAGUCUAGUUGGCUGAUUUAUCAGAACAUUUAGUCUAGUUGUAUCAGAACAUUUAGUCUAGUUGACUGAUUUAUCAGAACAUUUAGUCUAGUUGGCUGAUUUAUCAGAACAUUUAGUCUAGUUGGCUGAUUUAUCAGAACAUUUAGUCUAGUUGUAUCGGAACAUUUAGUCUAGUUGGCUGAUUUAUCAGAACAUUUAGUCUAGUUGUAUCAGAACAUUUAGUCUAGUUGACUGAUUUAUCAGAACAUUUAGUCUAGUUGGCUGAUUUAUCAGAACAUUUAGUCUAGUUGGCUGAUUUAUCAGAACAUUUAGUCUAGUUGGCUGAUUUAUCAGAACAUUUAGUCUAGUUGACUGAUUUAUCAGAACAUUUAGUCUAGUUAGCUGAUUUUUUUAGGCCUAAUCAGAACAUUUAGUCUAGUUGGCUGAUUUAUCAGAACAUUUAGCCUAGUUGGCUGAUUUAUCAGAACAUUUAGUCUAGUUAGCUGAUUUAUUAGGCCUAAUCAGAACAUUUAGUCUAGUUGCCUGAUUCAUCAGAACAUUUAGUCUAGUUGGCUGAUUUAUCAGAACAUUUAGUCUAGUUGGCUGAUUUAUCAGAACAUUUAGCCUAGUUGGCUGAUUUAUCAGAACAUUUAGUCUAGUUAGCUGAUUUAUUAGGCCUAAUCAGAAUAUUUAGUCUAGUUGGCUGAUUUAUCAGAACAUUUAGUCUAGUUGGCUGAUUUAUUCGAACAUUUAGUCUAGUUAGCUGAUUUAUUAGGCCUAAUCAGAACAUUUAGUCUAGUUGGCUGAUUUAUCAGAACAUUUAGUCUAGUUGGCUGAUUUAUCAGAACAUUUAGUCUAGUUUGCUGAUUUAUCAGAACAUUUAGUCUAGUUGGCUGAUUUAUCAGAUCAUUUAGUCUAGUUGGCUGAUUUAUCAGAUCAUUUAGUCUAGUUGACUGAUUUAUCAGAUCAUUUAGUCUAGUUGGCUGAUUUAUCAGAACAUUUUGCCAGCAUGUUAUUCAGGAUAUGUAGUUUAUCAAGUGGAUUAUUUUGCUCCUCACUCCAGGCCCUUAGUAGCCUUACACCCAAACUAAAGCCUGUUACUUCACUGACUUGUAUCGAUCAAUGUGAUCUGGUUGAUUCUCUGGCUGGGCAAAUAAGUGGAGGUAUAGAUCAUCUAUCUGUGAUCAGAAACAUUUAGCAUCUAAUAAUGUAGCCUAAAUCAAGAGUAGGCCUGUUACCUUGCUCGAUCAUGUAAAGCCUAUACACUUUUAGUGUUGUGAAAUAUGAACAUGAGACUCACAUGCUUUUGAAAAUAGGUAUGCUAUUAUUUUCUAUUGGUAUCAUGAUGCAGAUACUAUCAAUGUAAGCCCCUACGUCUGCCCCCUAACAACGUGGAGUGAGGGUAGGAAAGAGAUGAAAUGUGGAACAAAAAGGCAAUAGGCUUUUUUUCCCCAUGACUCAAGUUGUGUGGGAAAAAUAUGAUUAUUAUUUUAUUCUGUUAUAUUCCUUUAAAUUCUUAACAUAAAAUAUGUGUGUGUUGACUGUGAUCAGGUAGGUAUGUCUUUAAUUAACCAAAUAAUGAACUAUUGAUUUCAUUAAUUUGGAGGUAAUUAAACUCAACUUUUUUACAAGCAAAAUACCGUAAAUUAAAUUUGAAGAGUGAAGUUUUAGAAAUCAAGAUCGUCUUGAUCAAUAUCACUCUCUUUGGCCUUGCUUGACUUGACAGACUUCUUUGGAGUCUUCUUCUUUGGGGAGACGACUUGUCGCUCGAGAACCUCGCUGGCUGACUCUGUGACUUCUGACACUUUGCUCUCGUUCUCUUUGUCCAUAAGGUACAUCUGCUUUCUCUUCACAGAGAGGUGGUGGCCCGAGCCUUUCCCCGACCCUGAACUCUUCUCACUGUUGGACUCUCGCUCUGCCUCUUCAUCCAGGAUUUCAUCCAGCGAGCCUGGUUGGGAUUCCAUGGAAGAUUUGGUUGGCUGGCUUUGUAGGCUCGUCUCAGAUGUCCCAGAAGGUCCAUCACCGUCGUCUUCAGACUGUCCUUUGCUUCUGACAUCAUCCGCCUCAUCGGCUGGCUCUUCCUCGGGAGCAGCAUAGUUUUUAACUGUAUCCUCCUCAUCUUCCUCCUGCUCCUCCUCAUCUUCCUCCUGCUCCUCCUCAUCUUCCUCCUGCUCCUCCUCAGCUUCUGUCUGGUCCUCCUCAACUUCCUUUUCAGCUUCCUCCUGUUCUUCCUCAGCAGCAGCAUCCUCUUCUGCUGCAUCCUUCUUCUCCACUUCCGCCUGCUCCUCCUCAGCUUCUGCCUGCUCCUCCUCAGCUUCUGCUUGCUCCUCCUCCCCUUCCUCCACCUCCUCCUCAACAGUAGUCUCCUCAACCUGAAGCUCAGCCUCUGCUGCAGUACCACCCUCCUCUUCUGCUUUGUCCUCUUGGGCCUCUGACUCCUCAUUGUUUCCUUCAGUCUCUGAAUCCUCAACGUCAGAGUAAGCACCUUCUUCAGAGUACUCUAAUCUGGAAAAGGCAUCGAAUGAGGUCACUUGAGUUUCCUUAAGUGUUUCCUCCACGUUGUCUUUCCUGAUAGCUGUCUCCUCGAUGUUUGACUCAUCUACUGGCUCUAUUUUCUCUUCUUUUUCAGCUUCCUCUUUUUCUACAUCCUCCUCAGCUUCAGCUUCAGCUCCAUUUCCUGCUCCUUCAUCUUCAGCUGUCUCUGCUUCGCCAGUCUCUUCUUCGACUGCUGUUUCAGGUUCUGCCGACUCUUCUCCUGCGUUUUCAGUCUCAUCUCCUCUUGUUUCAUCUCUGGCUGUCUGCUCUUCUCCCUCAGCUGUCUCAGCUUCAGCACUCUCUUCCUCUCCUGCUGUUUCGUCGUCAGCUGUCUCUUCCCCUGAAGUUUCAGCUAGUGCCGUUACUUCUCCUGCAGUUUCAGCUAGUGCCGACUCAUCACCGGUUGUUUCAACUUCAGCCUCCUCCUCUCCUGUAGUUUCAUCUUGAGCUGUCUCUUCUUCUGCUGCUGUCUCAGCUUCUGCCGCCUCCUCUCCUGUAGUUUCCUCUUCAACUGCCUCAGUUUCAGCUUCCUCCUCUCCAACAGUCUCGUCUUCUCCGACAGUUUCAUCUUCAGUUGAUUCUACUUUGGCACUCUCAGCUUCAACAGUUUCAUCUUCUGCUUCGUCUUCUGCUGUCUCUUCUCCCUCUACUUCAGCUUCCUUGUCUUCUCCUGCUUCAUCCUCAGCAGUCUCUGCCUCUGCAGUUUCAGCUUCAGCUUCUUCUUCUGCUGCUUCCUCUGUUUCUUCGUCAGCUGUCUCUACUUCAGCAGUGUCCUCUUCUCCUGCUGUUUCGUCAUCAGCUGCUGUCUCUGCUUCAGAAGUUGCUUCUUCUCCUGCUUCAUCUUCUACUGUCUCAGCUUCUGCUGUUUCUGCUUUAGCUUCCUCCUCCUCUUCUACUGCUUCAUCUUCUGGAGUUUCUGCGUCAACAGUUUCUUCAUCUUCAGCAAUAUCAUAUUCCUCUUCUUCUACUGCUUCAUCUUUAACUGUCUCUUCUACUGCUGCCUCAGCUUCAUUACCCAUUUCAUCAUCCUGAGCAGCAUCUUCCUGUUCUUGUGAUUCCUUCGCCUCUUUCUUAGCCCCGUUGAUAACGUUUUCAACAAGAGUUUCUGCUGCUUUGGCUUCAUCUAUACCUCCAGUCUCAUCUGUAACAUCGACUUCUUCUUGUAUCUGUGGAGGAUUGUCCUUUUUCAACUGGAGAAUUGACUUUAAAUCAAAUGCAUGUAUAAUACUAGUUUUCACUACUGUGGCUUCAUCCAUAGUUUCAGUGUCAUCAGUAGCAUCAACUUCUUGUGUCUUUGGAGUAGGGUCCUUUUUCAACUGGAGGAUUGACUUUAGAUCAAAAGCCAUCAUGACUGGAGCAAUAUGCAAAACUUCUGCAGGAAGCAGUGGCCCUAAAUCCAGUUUCUUUUUUAUACAUGUUUCACAAGGGCAAUAUUCAUCAUCACUCCGUUGGUCACUGAAUGAAGUGCCGGUUGCAUCGUCGCUUUUCUCCUCUCGGUAAUCAAUAGACUGGUUGCGCACGACCUUCAGUCUUCUUCGCCUCGUCUCAGUUUGCGCACUUAAUUCUCGUGACAAUUCUUCUUUGGGUGGUCUUGGUCUUCCACCCCGACCGUGGAUCUUCCUUAGUUCUCUGUCAAUGCUUAAUUGUAUCCUCCUAUGCACAUCGUCUUUUAGUUCGGCUAUCAUGGCAUCAAGAUGUUCGCUGUCGUCCAAAUUCCAGCGAAUCUUGAACUCAGCCAUGGCAUCCACAUAAUGUGUCAUGAACUGUUUCUCUAGUUUGUUCAGUAACUUCAAGACCCAGACAGGAUCAGGAUCCAGGGAAACCUUUUUGGCUAGUUGUGCCCUUUGGGCAGAUGGAGGAGAGCCAGAGGUUGUGUCCUCUCGAGGGUCUGAGCUCUUGUUGGAAGACGGGGGUGUUUCUGGUAAUUCUCUCAGACUUUCAUUUCUAAUGGUGUCAUCAGACGCCGGGAUGUCUUCGUCUUUUUGUUUCUCUUCCUCCACUGCUGUUCCUCCUUCUCCUCCUCCUUCCUCUGUGGUCCAUUGGACCUGACUGGCUAUGUCCAGAGUGGCUAGAUCAGACAUAGGGAUUGAGAACUCUGGGCUUUCUUGUUCCUCUGCAGUUUCGUCAACUUCUUCUACCCUCGGCAAUGCUUCCCCCUCUGCGUUCGGUGCAUGAGCCAAACCACCUGAGCUCUUACCUGAGCCUGUUGAGCCACUGCUGACGUCCACCCCAGAGGAGGACCUUGCUUUGGUGUCACCGUCCACGGAGUGUUGAUCACAGCCAUUCUGCUGUGUCUUUUGAUUCUCUGCAGGGUCACACAACCAGAGGGACUGGAGGAUGUUCAUUAGCUCUCUGUACCUUGCUUCCUUGGCAUUUGCAUCGUCAUUGUGAUCAAAGUCAAUCAACUGCAGCUUUGCGAGGCAAUCCAGGAGACCUCUGGCUGAGGUGCUCAGUUUACGUCCGUACACUGGGGAAACUUCAGGUAAGCUGUGACACCGGUCAAGCUUGGGACUCAACAGUACUUUCAUCACCUGCACUGAGGAGUGAAAGCUCUUUGAUAUGUCCUCCUGUGGAACGGUGCCCUCUGGUUGGGUCUCAGGUGGGGUCUCUGCUGGCUCCUCACCAUCAGCCACAUGGUUGGCUGCUGUCUCUUUGGGCUCUUCCUUUUCUUUUUGAGUCUCACACACAGCAGUGACAUCGUUCUCCUCCGUCCCAUUCGUUUUGUCCUUUGGUGCCAGCUCCGGUGAAUGGCCUCUGUCACUGAAUUCGUCCCCAAUGUCGUACAUCUCACUAUCAGAUGGUAUUUUCUUAAGCCACUCAUUCACCACCUCUGUUGGAGAGGCGUUUGGUAAAUUGGAGGGAACCAGCUCAGAGACAUCUCCUUCCAGCAACUGUAGGGAGGAACUGCGAGAGGAAACCCCUUUCCUGUGUUUGCACUUGCUGCUCUUGUCACUUUUGUUGUCACUGACAUUCCAG